This 504-nucleotide ribosomal RNA is filed under the name Aspergillus versicolor. RNAcentral describes it as "eukaryotic LSU rRNA". It matches the Rfam family "Eukaryotic large subunit ribosomal RNA", at positions 123 to 647 of the family's 3401-position model. The record is from RNAcentral. Lineage: Eukaryota; Fungi; Ascomycota; Eurotiomycetes; Eurotiales; Aspergillaceae.
GGCCCUCCGGGUCCGAGUGUAAUUGCAGAGGAUGCUUCGGGUGCGGCCCCUGUCUAAGUGCCUGGAACGGGCCGUCAGAGAGGGUGAGAAUCCCGUCUUGGGCAGGGUGCCCGUGCCCGUGUGAAGCUCCUUCGACGAGUCGAGUUGUUUGGGAAUGCAGCUCUAAAUGGGUGGUAAAUUUCAUCUAAAGCUAAAUACCGGCCGGAGACCGAUAGCGCACAAGUAGAGUGAUCGAAAGAUGAAAAGCACUUUGAAAAGAGAGUUAAACAGCACGUGAAAUUGUUGAAAGGGAAGCGCUUGCGACCAGACUCGGCCUCGGGGUUCAGCCAGCAUUCGUGCUGGUGUACUUCCCCGGGGCCGGGCCAGCGUCGGUUCGGGCGGCCGGUCAAAGGCCCCAGGAAUGUAUCGUCCUCCGGGACGUCUUAUAGCCUGGGGUGCAAUGCGGCCAGCCUGGACCGAGGAACGCGCUUCGGCACGGGACGCUGCGCGUAAGGUCGCAACAGA